CAGCCUUUCCAUGCUUUCUACUACUGCUUCUGUAUUUCUCCUGCAGGAAACUUGUAGAGAACUGAAAGCUGAAACAGCUGAACAGCAUUUUCUGACUGAUACCAUGAGAAGUAAUCUGCCUGGAACAGGGAUAUAAAAAUAAAUCCCCGAAGAGAAAUAGUGUCUCAACAUAUCACGAUACAUUGUAGAAAAGAAAAGAAAGGCCAACUGCAGUGAGAUGUUUUUCAUAUUUUGGAAAGUUUUUGGAGAAACGUCGAGUGAGAGGAAGCUGAAGUGGUCUAUUAGAUGGAGGAGUGCUAUUCAAAAGAAAUUUCAAGUGAGACUCUACUGUACUCAGAAGCUGCAAUAUUUAACUCAUGAAUGGAUACAUUAGAAGUCAGACCACACCACCAGCAACAACACCUUUUGCCGGGUAAGAAAUAUAUUAUCUCUUUCAAUCUGAU
Molecule: long non-coding RNA, 443 nt
Organism: Anolis carolinensis (green anole)
Lineage: Eukaryota; Metazoa; Chordata; Lepidosauria; Squamata; Anolidae
Source: Ensembl